CCUACGGGAGGCAGCAGUGGGGAAUAUUGCGCAAUGAGCGAAAGCUUGACGCAGCGACACCGCGUGCGGGAUGAAGGCCUUAGGGUUGUAAACCGCUUUCGGCAGGGACGAAGCGAAAGUGACGGUACCUGCAGAAGAAGGUCCGGCUAACUACGUGCCAGCAGCCGCGGUCAUA
Molecule: ribosomal RNA, 175 nt
Filed under: uncultured bacterium
Lineage: Bacteria
Description: partial 16S ribosomal RNA
Rfam family: Bacterial small subunit ribosomal RNA
Source: RNAcentral